UACGAAGGGUGCGAGCGUUGUUCGGAAUUAUUGGGCGUAAAGGGUUCGUAGGCGGGAGAGCAAGUUGAGUGUGAAAACCCCGGGCUUAACCUGGGACGUGCACUCAAGACUGUUUUUCUUGAGUAUGGGAGAGGGUGGUGGAAUUGCUGGUGUAGGAGUGACAUCCGUAGAGAUCAGCAGGAACGCCGGAGGCGAAAGCGACCACCUGGUCCAAAACUGACGCUGAGGAACGAAAGCGUGGGGAGCAAACAGG
Molecule: ribosomal RNA, 253 nt
Filed under: uncultured bacterium
Lineage: Bacteria
Description: partial 16S ribosomal RNA
Rfam family: Bacterial small subunit ribosomal RNA
Source: RNAcentral